AAAUAGAUCCUGGAACCGUAUGCUUACAAAAAGUAGGAGCCCGCAAGGGUGACUGCGUACCUUUUGUAUAAUGGGUCAGCGACUUACAUUCAGUGGCAAGGUUAACCGAAUAGGGAAGCCGUAGAGAAAUCGAGUCCGAAUAGGGCGAAUUAGUCGCUGGGUGUAGACCCGAAACCAAGUGAUCUAUCCAUGGGCAGGAUGAAGGUGCCGUAACAGGUACUGGAGGUCCGAACCGACUAAUGUUGCAAAAUUAGCGGAUGACCUGUGGAUAGGGGUGAAAGGCUAAACAAACUUGGAAAUAGCUGGUUCUCUCCGAAAACUAUUUAGGUAGUGCCUCAAGUAUUACCUGCGGGGGUAGAGCACUGUUUUGGCUAGGGGGUCAUGGCGACUUACCAAACCAAGGCAAACUCCGAAUACCGCAGAGUACAGCUUGGGAGACAGAGCACCGGGUGCUAACGUCCGGACUCAAGAGGGAAACAACCCAGACCGCCAGCUAAGGUCCCUAAAAUUGGCUAAGUGGGAAACGAAGUGGGAAGGCUAAAACAGUCAGGAUGUUGGCUUAGAAGCAGCCAUCAUUUAAAGAAAGCGUAAUAGCUCACUGAUCGAGUCGUCCUGCGCGGAAGAUGUAACGGGGCUAAGCCAGUUACCGAAGCUGCGGAUUUGCAAUUUAUUGCAAGUGGUAGGAGAGCGUUCUGUAAGCCUGUGAAGGUGCGUUGUAAAGCGUGCUGGAGGUAUCAGAAGUGCGAAUGCUGACAUGAGUAGCGUUAAAGGGGGUGAAAAGCCCCCUCGCCGUAAGCGCAAGGUUUUCUACGCAACGUUCAUCGGCGUAGAGUGAGUCGGCCCCUAAGGCGAGGCAGAGAUGCGUAGUUGAUGGGAAACAGGUCAAUAUUCCUGUACCGAUGUGUAGUGCGAUGUGGGGACGGAGAAGGUUAGCUCAGCAGACUGUUGGAUAUGUCUGUUCAAGCCUGUAGUCGUGCCUGGUAGGUAAAUCCGCCGGGCUUAGAUGAGGGGUGAUAACGAGGAAGCUUGCUUCCGAAGUGAGUGAUACCCUGCUUCCAGGAAAAGCCACUAAGCUUCAGCUACACACGACUGUACCGCAAACCGACACUGGUGCGCGAGAUGAGUAUUCUAAGGCGCUUGAGAGAACUCAGGAGAAGGAACUCGGCAAAUUGACACCGUAACUUCGGAAGAAGGUGUGCCUUUAGUAUGUGAACCUGUACAAGGGGAGCAGAAUGAGGCCUCAGAGAAUCGGUGGCUGCGACUGUUUAAUAAAAACACAGCACUCUGCAAACACGAAAGUGGACGUAUAGGGUGUGACGCCUGCCCGGUGCUGGAAGAUUAAAUGAUGGGGUGCAAGCUCUUGAUUGAAGUCCCAGUAAACGGCGGCCGUAACUACAACGGUCCUAAGGUAGCGAAAUUCCUUGUCGGGUAAGUUCCGACCUGCACGAAUGGCGUAACGAUGGCCACACUGUCUCCUCCUGAGACUCAGCGAAGUUGAAAUGUUUGUGAUGAUGCAAUCUCCCCGCGGAAAGACGGAAAGACCCCAUGAACCUUUACUGUAGCUUUGUAUUGGACUUUGAACAGAUCUGUGUAGGAUAGGUGGGAGGCUUUGAAGCGUGGUCGCUAGACUGCGUGGAGCCAACGUUGAAAUACCACCCUGGUGUGUUUGAGGUUCUAACCUAGGUCCCUUAUCGGGAUCGGGGACAGUGCAUGGUAGGCAGUUUGACUGGGACGGUCUCCUCCCAAAGCGUAACGGAGGAGUUCGAAGGUACGCUAGGUACGGUCGGACAUCGUGCUAAUAGUGCAAUGGCAUAAGCGUGCUUAACUGCGAGACUGACAAGUCGAGCAGAUACGAAAGUAGGACAUAGUGAUCCGGUGGUUCUGUAUGGAAGGGCCAUCGCUCAACGGAUAAAAGGUACUCUGGGGAUAACAGGCUGAUACCGCCCAAGAGUUCAUAUCGACGGCGGUGUUUGGCACCUCGAUGUCGGCUCAUCUCAUCCUGGGGCUGUAGCCGGUCCCAAGGGUAUGGCUGUUCGCCAUUUAAAGAGGUACGUGAGCUGGGUUUAAAACGUCGUGAGACAGUUUGGUCCCUAUCUUCCGUGGGCGCUG
This 2109-nucleotide ribosomal RNA is filed under the name uncultured Limnohabitans sp. RNAcentral describes it as "partial 23S ribosomal RNA". It matches the Rfam family "Bacterial large subunit ribosomal RNA", at positions 541 to 2656 of the family's 2925-position model. Lineage: Bacteria; Pseudomonadati; Pseudomonadota; Betaproteobacteria; Burkholderiales; Comamonadaceae. The record is from RNAcentral.